This is a long non-coding RNA of Aethalodelphis obliquidens (Pacific white-sided dolphin), 2668 nucleotides long. RefSeq lists it as uncharacterized. NCBI's taxonomy places the organism in Eukaryota, Metazoa, Chordata, Mammalia, Artiodactyla, Delphinidae. The record is from RefSeq and is a predicted model, not a curated record. The transcript is spliced from 4 exons.
CAUACAUAAUUUUUAGAGAACAAAUGGUAAGCGCUAAGUUUCAUUUAACCUUGUGUUCCAUUUCAGAGACCUGGCUCACAGACGUGUGUGCUCUGAUUGAAUGAACACGUGAGUGAGCAGCAUUCACAGACAUCUCUGUGUGGAGCGCUUCCUCUCCUUUAUCUUUCAGGGCGUUCAUUUCAUUCACUGUGAGUUUAUAAACGGCAUGGAUUUUGGAGUCAGACAACCAGAGUUCAAAUCCAGCCUUUGCUAAUCACUUGGCUGAUGACUUUCAGAAAUCUGCUUAACCUUCCUAAGACCUCGGUUUCCUUAUCUGCAAAAUGGGAUAAUAACCCUUCAAGUGAAAUAAGGUGUCCCAUUCAGAGCAUCCAAGCUAAUGGACAGUUAAGGAAAUGGCCCAACAGCUGGCAGGCCUCCCCUGCUGUUGCCAAUAUUGUUUUCAGGCUCCAGGCGGUGCUGAAUUAUAACACACGCGCAGCAAAACUAGCACAGAAGCCCCACGUCCACCACUCUCUGCCCCUCCAAACUCUAAGACAAGCGUGGCUCCACUAAGUGUCUUAGGCCGCGUAAUGCAGAGCCUCUCAACUGGCAGCAGUGUCAACGUUCCCACCUACAGCCCGUGAGGUAGGCAGAGCAUCUAUCAUCACUAUCACCCUCAACACCAUCAUCAUCAACAUCAUCACCAGCUUACAGAUGAAAACCCUGAGGUUCCAGGAGAUACAGGGACAACUCAGCUUCCGACAGAACUGCGAUGAGAUAAAUGCGGGCUCCUGAAUCCAAACCUGAACUCUUUCCUCUGAGCUGACGGCUCCAUGAUGGCAGCAGGGCCACAGCACAUGGCUAUGGGUGUCACCAACCUCAGCAAUGAGAUGGCUGCACCUUGGCUUGGGAGUGCCCUGUAGGUAAACUGCUCUCCUAGACACUGUAGGAAAGGCCAAGGUCAACAGUCUGAUUCAGGGAACUUACAUGUCAAAUUCCCUGGGGCCUGGAGCACGAUCACAUGUUCCGUGUGUUUCUUUUCAGAAGGGGUUUUGGAUCUGCAUUUAGAGAGAACAGUCUGAGACUAGAGAGGGCAGAAGCAUUUCAAGAAGAAGAAAGUCUCACCUAGGUUUCUGUUUGUUCGUUUUCUCAUGCCAGGUGGACAUGAGAAAUAAAGCAGUGGGGGAGGGAAAGCAAGGGUGGACUUUCAUGGGGGGCGGGUGGGCAGGGCUGCAUCCCCCUAAUCAGCAUUUCCAUUAUCCUCAUCAAAUACUCUGUAGCAGUCAGACUCUGGGUUCUGUCCUUCACACUCAUUUUCUAGAUUAAUAUUCAUGUCCAUCCUAGGAGCUAUUAGUGCUGUCAUCUUAGGGAUAAGGAAAUUGAAGCAAGAAAGACCACGAUAUUUGCUAAUGGUCACACAGCUAGUAAGAAGCGUAGCUGUGGUUUACCUUGAUUUCUUUAAACUUAGAGCUCAAAUAUUGGAGCAUUACAGCCAAUGUUUCUAAUACAUCACCUGCAUCCAGGUGCCCUGUCACAUGUCCAUCUUCCUUGACUCCACCUCUCAAAUCAGAAUCUCUGGGGAUGGGCUCCAGGCAUCUGGAUGCUAAGACAUGACUCCAGUUAUUCUGAUAAACACCGAAGAAAGGAAACCACUACACUGGGUGAUUUGGCCGCUUACUCUGCAUACACUGGAGUUUAGGUUUGACAUGAGAGGCAACUGAGAAAGAAAAUUAAUUAGUCAGCUGAAGAUAUGGCAUUAUAUUAUAGAGGAGAAAAAAAUAUCCAAACUAGGAAUUUUAAGAUCUUUUAAGAUCGUCAAGAUUCUUGUAUUAAAUAAUGGGGUCAUCUUAACCUCUUUGAGUUUGUAUCCUUAUCAAUUAAAAAAAAAUCCUGUUCAGCCUACCUAAGUAGAAUUGUUAUGAAAAUAUGAUGAGAAAAUAAAUGUUAUUAGUUCUGAAAAGCAAAGGCCUGUAGCCACAAUGAAGUUAUGAUGAAAAUAAUGUCCCAAGUGUUCAGUCUUAAGGCUUUGAAUAACACAGUUUGUUAAAGAAGAGGUAAGGUUUCCUUCUCCUUUAUGCAGGUGAGUCAGAGACCAUGCAAGGUCGAGAGCCUUAAAAUAAACAAGGUGAAAUAUGAUUAGGAAGACGCUCCAGAGAACUGGCAGACCUAUAUGAUGUUUGCAAUAAAGGAGGUAGAGGAAAAGAUAGGAGAGCCUUCUUCUAGAGGUUCAAGGUUGAGAAUGGGGUGCUUGGGUUUAAACAGGAAAUUGGUACCAGGUGAUGUAUAGAGGGAUUGAGUAUAGAAGGCAGUCAAGGUCAUUGGAACAUGAGGAAGAGCAGAGAAAAUGGUAUUCAGAGUCAUUUACUUAUUUUUUCACUCAUUCAUCAGAUAUUCAUUGGGCAUUUCAAUGGUCUCACUCUAGAUAUGCUAGGGUUCUGGAGAGGAAUGAGAGAGUGUCUGCCUUCUAGGGGUGCACGGUCUGGGUGGGGUGGAGCUGGUGGUAAAAGUGAGUAAUUCCAAGAGGCAAACGAUGUGCUUUUCCAGUGUUGGCGCUGCUGGGAAAGGAGGAACGGAAGUCGCCGGAAGGGUGGGUGGAGGGGGGAAUUAGAGCGCCACCUAGAGGGAGGAUUUGCCUGGGAAAACCCUCCCUUGGCGCCGUUAAUCUCAGACUCAUUCAGUUUCACCCAAA